This 91-nucleotide transfer RNA is filed under the name Shewanella putrefaciens. RNAcentral's name for it is "tRNA-Ser". The record is from RNAcentral. Lineage: Bacteria; Pseudomonadati; Pseudomonadota; Gammaproteobacteria; Alteromonadales; Shewanellaceae.
AUAUAGAUCACCAAUGACAUCGCUAAAGAGCGCACACCCAAGGUUGCUCCCAACAGAAUAUCGAGGGCCAAACCUAAAACCCAAGCAGUUA